CAUGGUGUUUGUAGACAUCGCGCCAUGAUAGAAGAACCUCCGAUUCUGGAUCCCCGCAGUAGUCAACAAGAGUCUGGACCAUCUUUGCUAGUGCUUCAACAGUAUGUAUAUCAAUGUGAGACAAGACCUCACUGCUGAAACUCUCAAGGUUUAGUCCUUGCAACCCAGCAAUAUUCUUAAAGUUCAGGCCCUGUAUAAAAGAAACUCUGGAACAUUCUUGCUCAACCACCUUAUAAAAAUGAGCCAACGCAUGAGCAGCUAUAUGUGGGGGUUUUGUAUCCAUCACGGGCAACAAGUCUUUAUCUUUUCCAAGCUGCAUGUAGCAGUCAGAUAGCAAGGCAUAUAAACAAGCUAGUCGUUGUUUGUCAUGCCCAUUAAUUGCAGGGUACACUGACAAGGAGAUGGUUUUUAUUGAUUCUGCAGCACAAGCAAGCACAUUGCCUUUAAAGAUUGAAAUUUCGGCCAUUAUAUCAUCAACAGCCCAAACAUCUGAAACAAGGACAGAAGCAAGGUACUGUUGUAGCACCUGAAACGUAAACAGAGAGAAAUUAAGAUAUGACUUCCAGCAGUAUGCAUAUANACUACCAGAGUAUUAUCUGUCAUUUACGUUUGUAUUUUGCAGUAUCUAUUUUAUCUUGUGUUACUUUGUUUCUUUCUUACAGUGAUUAAUCAAAUGUAGGAAACAGACUAAUCAUGAGAUUAUAACACUAAACAUUGACAAAAUCUAAUAACCUCUAUCAUCUAACAUUGGUAGAAAUCAUAGACAAUGCAGUUUGGAUUAGAUUCCCUAAUCUGCCUUUCAACUGGGCAACAGUAUUUGCCAAAGGUUCACAGAAGUCCCUAUCUGCAGAAGCAGAUGCAUCAUCUUGAAGAACUUGAAGCUGCUGCAUUUCUAAAUAUUUCCGGAGACUGGCCUCUGCAACAUUAAUUAAACUGAGAGAUGCAUUUGUAUGCAUGAAUUUCGUGACCAGGAUCCCAGCUAGAAUCUGCUGAUCUGCCUUCACAAGCUCUGUUAUAAAACAGGGAAAAAGUAAUUUUCCGAAAAGUAACAUAAUAUAUUUCUCUUUGCUUUCUGGUUCGUAUACCCUUCUUUGUUUGAGACUAGGCAGCCGGUCUUCCUGGCACUGGCGAGAUAGAUUCCCAACAAUAUAGCAAAUAUAUGAAAAGGUGGUUCCAUAGGAAGUUUUAGUGAUGAUCUUUGUAAUGAUUCCGGAGUGCAAUGCAAGAAUUAGAAACUCAACAUCUCUAGAAAUUGCGUCUGAAAUGCCUACUUGCUUGAGUUUAUCUUCAACUGAAUCCAAACACAAUAGCUGUGUUCCAUCAUAAGGCAGCAAGAGAGCCAUCUUGAGAGCUGCAAAGCAAUCCAACUCGGCAGUAGUUUGGCUCAUGUGAAGGGUGCCAUUAUCAUCCAGCAAGAUGCCAGUAGUCUUUGCCAAGGAUCUAUCUAUCAACAUCAACAAAUCUCUAAAUCGAGAUAAUUGCACCAUCUUCUUAAAGAUCUCCAACCAACAAGCAUGCAGAGGAUGAACUACAAGCGUGUUCUCCUUCAGUUCCUUGUCCAAGGGUUCUUGAAAGCUUUCCCAUCCAUCAUCCCAAUCAUCACUGCCCCAAUUGUUUCCGGCAUCAGUUGUUUCGGUGGAAUUUGCCUCAGCUCUACCUGAUGGAAAUAGCCCUUCCCACUCUUCCAAAAUGGCUAUCAAACAAUCACAAUGGCUUCCAACUUCAGCAGCUUCACAUAAUAUCGAGAAGCAAGAAACUGCUGAUUCAACGGUCACAAGAUCUUUUGGAGUAAUCUGUAAACUGGGAGAGAUAGCAGACACCAGCUGUGACGACUUGAGGGCGACUAGAGUAUUAGCAAAUCUACUCGAAGCUUCAGUAUUAACAUUUUGCACACCAUGAUCAACGGUAGUCUCAGUGUCAGCAUCUGUUCUUUGUAAACCAUCCCACCCUUCCCAUGGAACAAUAUUGGCCUGUAUCUCAGCGGAAAAUGCCUUCAAAGUUCGACCUCUAGAUGAAAUAGAUUGCAUAAGCUCCAGGAUGUAAACUCGCACAUGGUCAGGAAGCUCCAAGUUAUCCGAGAACUUUGCCAUACUCGUCCAAACUGCUUGCCUUACCAUCUUCAGAUCCUCCAUUUCAUGUUUUACUUCACUCAAAGAUGACAAGAGAUUGGGUAGAUCUGGGUGAUUAAGGGAUGCACCAGAAGAAAGGUCUUGCAAGAUUUUUUCAAAUAUACUCAUAUAAAGAUGGCGAAGAUCUUGUGUUUCAUCACAAUAUUUCUGGCUCCCAGAGAUUGGAGUUGAGUUAGAUGGGAACUGUGACACUGCAUGAGAAUAUACAUGUGCAAUAGCUUCGAAUUUACACCCAGAAAAAAUCAUUGCUUGGCAGAAAUGUGAAAUUUCAAUAGUAAUGCUGCCAGUAAGGCCCUUCUCAACAUAGCGAACAAGAGUUCUCCAACCCUGUCUUGGUGAGACUUUCUUCCCCACAACCAGGUCUAGAAAACCUUCAACGCACACCAUUAAACAUCUCGGGUGAAAAUUUUCUGAACCCUCCUGGGACACAAAUUCCUGCAUGUCACCAGCUAGUUUUAACCAAAAUGUUAGCAUGAUUCUAAGGCAAUCCUGCCAGCUUGAAUCGCAAGAAAUAAUAUUCAAGGAAUUUUUAAAGGGUAGUAUUAUAUCUAAGUAUUGCUUCAUUAUUUCCAGGACAGCUGGACAUGUCAGUGCACUUAUAUAGUUUCUGCACAUAUCAUAUGUACUCUCAAGCUCAUUUAUGAAGUGCUGAAGAUUUUCAGGACUUUCAAAAGGAAUCCUGGAUUUAGCGCUUAAUCCCAACUCUGACAACAAACUCAAUACAUGGUGUUUGUAGACAUCGCGCCAUGAUAGAAGAACCUCCGAUUCUGGAUCCCCGCAGUAGUCAACAAGAGUCUGGACCAUCUUUGCUAGUGCUUCAACAGUAUGUAUAUCAAUGUGAGACAAGACCUCACUGCUGAAACUCUCAAGGUUUAGUCCUUGCAACCCAGCAAUAUUCUUAAAGUUCAGGCCCUGUAUAAAAGAAACUCUGGAACAUUCUUGCUCAACCACCUUAUAAAAAUGAGCCAACGCAUGAGCAGCUAUAUGUGGGGGUUUUGUAUCCAUCACGGGCAACAAGU
This 3148-nucleotide long non-coding RNA is filed under the name Daucus carota (carrot). RNAcentral's name for it is "long non-coding RNA (DCAR_LNC004575)". The record is from RNAcentral. Lineage: Eukaryota; Viridiplantae; Streptophyta; Magnoliopsida; Apiales; Apiaceae.